GACGAACGCUGGCGGCGUGCUUAACACAUGCAAGUCGAGCGGUAAGGCCCCUUCGGGGGUACACGAGCGGCGAACGGGUGAGUAACACGUGAGCAAUCUGCCCAUCACAUCGGGAUAACUCCGGGAAACCGAAGCUAAUACCGAAUACGACCACCUCCGGCAUCGGAUGGUGGUGGAAAGUUCCGGCGGUGAUGGAUGAGCUCGCGGCCUAUCAGCUUGUUGGUGGGGUAACGGCCCACCAAGGCUUCGACGGGUAGCCGGCCUGAGAGGGUGACCGGCCACACUGGGACUGAGACACGGCCCAGACUCCUACGGGAGGCAGCAGUGGGGAAUAUUGGACAAUGGGCGAAAGCCUGAUCCAGCAACGCCGCGUGAGGGAUGACGGCCUUCGGGUUGUAAUCCUCUUUCAGCAGGGACGAAGCGCAAGUGACGGUACCUGCAGAAGAAGCACCGGCCAACUACGUG
RNAcentral lists this ribosomal RNA (465 nucleotides) under uncultured bacterium. RNAcentral describes it as "partial 16S ribosomal RNA". It matches the Rfam family "Bacterial small subunit ribosomal RNA", at positions 28 to 507 of the family's 1533-position model. The record is from RNAcentral.